CUCCAUUGGUUACCUCUUAUUGGUCGAAGGGAAUGUCGGUCUGGAGGCACUAAGGUAAAGAUCCCGCCCUUCCGUCCCGCCUCCUUCCUGCUUGCUUGCCAGAGUCGGUGUACAGCUUUCCAUCCCUGAAAUCCUUGAAGGAGUGACCUGCGGGAGAUGGUGUCUCAGGAAAAUGAGAGCUGGCUUUUAGACCAUUCACAUCUUCUGCCCGCACCCAUGAUACUACGGAAAGCUAAUUGUUCGCUUGCAAAGAAGGGAAUCAAAGCUCCAGGCUUUCACUGCAUUCGCUGUAUCCUGCCUUUGGAGGAGUCUCUGGGAGUGCGAGUCACAGAAAGAAGACAAGAAGGCACUGGGUAUCCUGUUUGCAACUGCCCCACAGCACGGCCACUGACAAAGGCGGGGUGAAAAGCAAUACUGAAAUCCAUCGUUCAGGAAGCAGAGGCCAGAAAAAGUCCAAGGUGAUCCUUGGCAACUUAGCAAG
Long non-coding RNA from Rattus norvegicus (Norway rat), 481 nucleotides. NCBI's taxonomy places the organism in Eukaryota, Metazoa, Chordata, Mammalia, Rodentia, Muridae. The record is from Ensembl.